GAUGAACGCUGGCGGCGUGCCUAAUACAUGCAAGUCGAGCGAACGGACGAGAAGCUUGCUUCUCUGAUGUUAGCGGCGGACGGGUGAGUAACACGUGGAUAACCUACCUAUAAGACUGGGAUAACUUCGGGAAACCGGAGCUAAUACCGGAUAAUAUUUUGAACCGCAUGGUUCAAAAGUGAAAGACGGUCUUUCUGUCACUUCUAGAUGUAUCCGCGCUGCAUUAGCUAGUUGGUAAGGUAACGGCUUACCAAGGCAACGAUGCAUAGCCGACAUGAGAGGGUGAUCGGCCACACUGGAACUGAGACACGGUACAGACGCCUACGGGAGGCAGCAGUAGGGAAACUUGCGCAAUGGGCGAAAGCCUGACGGAGCAACGCCGCGUGAGUGAUGAAGGUCUUCGGAUCGUAAAACUCUGUUAUUAGGGAAGAACAUAUGUGUAAGUAACUGUGCACAUCUUGACGGUACCUAAUCAGAAAGCCACGGCUAACCACGUG
This 497-nucleotide ribosomal RNA is filed under the name uncultured bacterium. Its description in RNAcentral is "partial 16S ribosomal RNA". It matches the Rfam family "Bacterial small subunit ribosomal RNA", at positions 28 to 507 of the family's 1533-position model. The record is from RNAcentral.